Molecule: long non-coding RNA, 205 nt
Filed under: Elaeis guineensis (African oil palm)
Lineage: Eukaryota; Viridiplantae; Streptophyta; Magnoliopsida; Arecales; Arecaceae
Description: long non-coding RNA (EGUI_LNC082455)
Source: RNAcentral
AUUUAAGAUUUUCUAAUUUUAAAGUUGACUGAUGUCCCUUUCUAAUUAAUAUGAGAGCAGAACACUACCAAAAGAUCACUGUAGCGCAAAUUCGCUAAGCAGGACGUUCAAAUCAAAGAACUUCUGUUUCUCCUCUUCUUUUGAUUACAUCAAGAUAAUGAUGCCUAUUUACCUCUGGGAACAUGUCAAUGAUCUUAUAUCAUCU